GAUGAAGAACGCAGCGAAUUGCGAUAUGUAAUGUGAAUUGCAGAAUUCAGUGAAUCAUCGAAUCUUUGAACGCACAUUGCGCCCCUUGGUAUCCCGAGGGGCAUGCCUGUUCGAGCGUCAUUUCACCACUCAAGCCUGGCUUGGUGUUGGGCGACGUCCUCUUUGGGGACGCGCCUCGAAACGCUCGGCGGCGUGGCACCGGCUUUAAGCGUAGCAGAAUCUUUCGCUUUGGAAGUCGGGGCCCCGUCUGCCGGAAGACCUGCUCGCAAGGUUGACCUCGGAUCAGGCAGGGAUACCCGCUGAACUUAAGCAUAUCAAUAAGCGGAGGA
RNAcentral lists this unclassified non-coding RNA (329 nucleotides) under soil metagenome. RNAcentral's name for it is "partial contains 5.8S ribosomal RNA, internal transcribed spacer 2, and large subunit ribosomal RNA". The stretch from base 1 to 120 matches the Rfam family "5.8S ribosomal RNA", at positions 35 to 154 of the family's 154-position model. The record is from RNAcentral.